CGCUCUGAUGGUCUAAUGGUUAGAGCGUCCGCCUCAAAUGAGGGAGGUCUUGGGUUUGAACCCCAGCUGAGUCA
This is a non-coding RNA of Potamilus streckersoni, 74 nucleotides long. Lineage: Eukaryota; Metazoa; Mollusca; Bivalvia; Unionida; Unionidae. The record is from the annotation of a GenBank genome assembly.